GGACAAGUAGCUCAAUUGGAUAGAGCAACGGUCUUCUAAACCGUAGGUUCUGGGUUCGAGUCCCAGCUUGUCUGCCA
Molecule: transfer RNA, 77 nt
Filed under: Xanthomarina gelatinilytica
Lineage: Bacteria; Pseudomonadati; Bacteroidota; Flavobacteriia; Flavobacteriales; Flavobacteriaceae
Description: tRNA-Arg
Rfam family: tRNA
About the family: Transfer RNA (tRNA) molecules are approximately 80 nucleotides in length. Their secondary structure includes four short double-helical elements and three loops (D, anti-codon, and T loops).
Source: RNAcentral